ACGCGAAGAACCUUACCAGGUCUUGACAUCCUCUGACACUCCUAGAGAUAGGACGUUCCCCUUCGGGGGACAGAGUGACAGGUGGUGCAUGGUUGUCGUCAGCUCGUGUCGUGAGAUGUUGGGUUAAGUCCCGCAACGAGCGCAACCCUUGAUCUUAGUUGCCAGCAUUAAGUUGGGCACUCUAAGGUGACUGCCGGUGACAAACCGGAGGAAGGUGGGGAUGACGUCAAAUCAUCAUGCCCCUUAUGACCUGGGCUACACACGUGCUACAAUGGAUGGUACAAAGGGCAGCAAAGCGGUGACGCCUAGCAAAUCCCAUAAAACCAUUCUCAGUUCGGAUUGUAGGCUGCAACUCGCCUACAUGAAGCUGGAAUCGCUAGUAAUCGCGGAUCAGCAUGCCGCGGUGAAUACGUUCCCGGGCCUUGCACACACCGCCCGU
RNAcentral lists this ribosomal RNA (439 nucleotides) under uncultured bacterium. RNAcentral describes it as "bacterial SSU rRNA". It matches the Rfam family "Bacterial small subunit ribosomal RNA", at positions 959 to 1397 of the family's 1533-position model. The record is from RNAcentral.